UACGUAGGGGGCAAGCGUUGUCCGGAAUUAUUGGGCGUAAAGAGCGUGUAGGCGGCCAGAUAAGUCCGCUGUGAAAUCUCGAGGCUCAACUUCGAGCUGUCGGCGGAAACCAUCUGGCUAGAGUCCGGAAGAGGAGAAUGGAAUUCCCGGUGUAGCGGUGAAAUGCGCAGAUAUCGGGAAGAACACCCGUGGCGAAGGCGGUUCUCUGGGACGGUACUGACGCUGAGACGCGAAAGCGUGGGGAGCGAACAGG
Molecule: ribosomal RNA, 253 nt
Filed under: uncultured bacterium
Lineage: Bacteria
Description: partial 16S ribosomal RNA
Rfam family: Bacterial small subunit ribosomal RNA
Source: RNAcentral